GAUGCCUCCCGGCCGCCGUAGGCGAAGGUUCGCGGAAGAGGGGAGCAGGCGCUCACCUGAGGUUCGCCCAAUCCUGGAGCAGUGGGUCCCGGGAGGGAAGAGGGAAGUGGGUCAGGCUCCCGGCCUGUGUUUGUCCAUUCAUUCAUUCAUUGAGGCACGAAUUAAUGUGAUAACCACUUAUUCGUUCAAAAACUGCUGAUUCACCACCCACCAGGUGCCAGGGAGACGGACAAAAUGCACCAAACAAAAUGCACGAAACAGUACCGGAAGCAGUAAUGUCCACGUGUGAUACUUGCCCUGGAGCAAGUAAGGAGGGGACAGGACCAUCUGACUUCGGGGUUGGGCUGCUCUAGGGGUUUGGUGAUAGUCUUAGCUGCCUGUGACCGUCCAUUAGUACUGCCCUGUUCAGGGCAGAUACUGUUCGCUCGCCUCCCAGUAGUUUUUAUAUUGAAGAAAAAUAUAUCAGAGCAUCAAAUAGUACAACCUUAUGUACUUAAAAAAAUUACUUUCUAUCUGUCUACUCUAAGAUCAGUAGAGUAAGCACAGUUGCACAUUUUAUGUUCUCACCUAGUUAUAGCACCCUCUUCCUGUUCUCAACUCCAUUGAAGAGUUGCUACUUGUCAGUAUUUCUGUUAGUUGUCAGUAUCCAUUAGGAUCUGUAUUUUUGCCAUUUUAAAAAUCAACAGUUCUGAGUUACUAAAAAAUUGCAAAUGGUAGUUCCGGAGGUUCUAUACGUUGCCAUAGAAGAGCAUUCCAUUGGGUGUUUAAGGAACUGUUGGAGGAAACACGUUAAAGAUCAGUUAGGAAUGAUCAGAAGUCACUUGACCUUUUGAGGGACAUUGAUAAUAUCCUUAUAGCCUAGGAGGAAAAGAGCCACUAUUGUACGACGAAGCACAGCAGGAAAAUUUUAUGGCUGGAGUCGUGUUAUGACUUCCUGAGCUGACUCAGAAAUUGGAAUGAGUUGUCUGUGGAUCCUGUAAGGAGCCUGGACAUGGUGAAGAGAAUGCCUUGACCAUCAGGAGACAGCUUAGCUUGUUGAAUCUUGAUCACUUCUUCUGACCGCUUUGGAUCUUAAAAGAACAAGGUAAG
Molecule: long non-coding RNA, 1089 nt
Filed under: Homo sapiens (human)
Lineage: Eukaryota; Metazoa; Chordata; Mammalia; Primates; Hominidae
Description: non-protein coding lnc-CDYL2-6:12
Source: RNAcentral